This 514-nucleotide ribosomal RNA is filed under the name uncultured bacterium. Its description in RNAcentral is "bacterial SSU rRNA". It matches the Rfam family "Bacterial small subunit ribosomal RNA", at positions 19 to 518 of the family's 1533-position model. The record is from RNAcentral.
CUGGCUCAGGAUAAACGCUGGCGGCGUGCUUAACACAUGCAAGUCGAACGGAGUGGUUCUCCCGAGGAAUGAGGGUGCUUGCACCUGAAUGACUCAUUGAAUCACUUAGUGGCGGACGGGUGAGUAACGCGUGGGAAACCUGCCCUAUACUGGGGGAUAGCAGUUGGAAACGACUGAUAAUACCGCAUAAGCGCACAGCUUCGCAUGAAGCAGUGUGAAAAACUCCGGUGGUAUAGGAUGGUCCCGCGUCUGAUUAGCUAGUUGGUGAGGUAACGGCCCACCAAGGCAACGAUCAGUAGCCGGCCUGAGAGGGUGUACGGCCACAUUGGGACUGAGACACGGCCCAAACUCCUACGGGAGGCAGCAGUGGGGAAUAUUGGACAAUGGGGGAAACCCUGAUCCAGCCGACGCCGCGUGAACGAAGAAGUAUUUCGGUAUGUAAAGUUCUAUCAGCAGGGAAGAUAAUGACGGUACCUGACUAAGAAGCACCGGCUAAAUACGUGCCAGCAGCUGC